This 301-nucleotide ribosomal RNA is filed under the name uncultured bacterium. RNAcentral's name for it is "partial 16S ribosomal RNA". It matches the Rfam family "Bacterial small subunit ribosomal RNA", at positions 509 to 807 of the family's 1533-position model. The record is from RNAcentral.
CAGCAGCCACGGUAAUACGUAGGGUGCAAGCGUUAAUCGGAAUUACUGGGCGUAAAGCAUGCGUAGGUGGUGGUUUAAGUCCGUUGUGAAAGCCCUGGGCUCAACCUGGGAAUUGCAGUGGAUACUGGAUCACUAGAGUGUGGUAGAGGAUAGUGGAAUUUCCGGUGUAGCAGUGAAAUGCGUAGAGAUCGGAAGGAACAUCUGUGGCGAAGGCGACUAUCUGGGCCAACACUGACACUGAGACACGAAAGCGUGGGGAGCAAACAGGAUUAGAUACCCGCGUAGUCCCUGUCUCUUAUAC